CUUGCACCGGGGAUUAGUGGCGAACGGGUGAGUAACACGUGAGUAACCUGCCCUUAACUCUGGGAUAAGCCUGGGAAACUGGGUCUAAUACCGGAUAUGACUCCUCAUCGCAGGGUGGGGGGUGGAAAGCUUUAUUGUGGUUUUGGAUGGACUCGCGGCCUAUCAGCUUGUUGGUGAGGUAAUGGCUCACCAGGGCCACCACGGGUAGCCGGCCUGAGAGGGUGACCGGCCACACUGGGACUGAGACACGGCCCACACUCCUACGGGAGGCAGCAGUGGGGAAUAUUGCACAGUGGGCGCAAGCCUGAUGCAGCCACGCCGCGUGAGGGAUGACGGCCUUCGGGUUGUAAACCUCUUUCAGUAGGGAAGAAGCGAAAGUGACGGUACCUGCAGAAGAAGCGCCGGCUAACUACGUGCCAGCAGCCGCGGUAAUACGUAGGGCGCAAGCGUUAUCCGGAAUUAUUGGGCGUAAAGAGCUCGUAGGCGGUUUGUCGCGUCUGCCGUGAAAGUCCGGGGCUCAACUCCGGAUCUGCGGUGGGUACGGGCAGACUAGAGUGAUGUAGGGGAGACUGGAAUUCCUGGUGUAGCGGUGAAAUGCGCAGAUAUCAGGAGGAACACCGAUGGCGAAGGCAGGUCUCUGGGCAUUAACUGACGCUGAGGAGCGAAAGCAUGGGGAGCGAACAGGAUUAGAUACCCUGGUAGUCCAUGCCGUAAACGUUGGGCACUAGGUGUGGGGGACAUUCCACGUUUUCCGCGCCGUAGCUAACGCAUUAAGUGCCCCGCCUGGGGAGUACGGCCGCAAGGCUAAAACUCAAAGGAAUUGACGGGGGCCCGCACAAGCGGCGGAGCAUGCGGAUUAAUUCGAUGCAACGCGAAGAACCUUACCAAGGCUUGACAUGGACCGGACCGGGCUGGAAACAGUCCUUCCCCUUUGGGGCCGGUUCACAGGUGGUGCAUGGUUGUCGUCAGCUCGUGUCGUGAGAUGUUGGGUUAAGUCCCGCAACGAGCGCAACCCUCGUUCCAUGUUGCCAGCGCGUAAUGGCGGGGACUCAUGGGAGACUGCCGGGGUCAACUCGGAGGAAGGUGGGGACGACGUCAAAUCAUCAUGCCCCUUAUGUCUUGGGCUUCACGCAUGCUACAAUGGCCGGUACAAAGGGUUGCGAUACUGUGAGGUGGAGCUAAUCCCAAAAAGCCGGUCUCAGUUCGGAUUGGGGUCUGCAACUCGACCCCAUGAAG
Molecule: ribosomal RNA, 1236 nt
Filed under: Arthrobacter humicola
Lineage: Bacteria; Bacillati; Actinomycetota; Actinomycetes; Micrococcales; Micrococcaceae
Description: bacterial SSU rRNA
Rfam family: Bacterial small subunit ribosomal RNA
Source: RNAcentral